Molecule: ribosomal RNA, 292 nt
Filed under: uncultured bacterium
Lineage: Bacteria
Description: partial 16S ribosomal RNA
Rfam family: Bacterial small subunit ribosomal RNA
Source: RNAcentral
GUGCCAGCCGCCGCGGUAAAACGUAGGGGGCCAGCGUUGCUCGGAAUUACUGGGCGUAAAGGGUCCGUAGGCGGUGUAGCAAGUCGGAAGUGAAAUCUCUGGGCUUAACCCAGAGGCUGCUCCCGAAACUGCUGUGCUAGAGUGCGAGAGAGGCGAGUGGAAUUGCGGGUGUAGCGGUGAAAUGCGUAGAUAUCAGGAGGAACACCAAUGGCGAAGGCAGCUCGCUGGGACGGUACUGACGCUGAGACGCGAAAGCGUGGGGAGCAAACAGGAUUAGAUACCCGUGUAGUCC